RNAcentral lists this ribosomal RNA (301 nucleotides) under uncultured bacterium. RNAcentral describes it as "partial 16S ribosomal RNA". It matches the Rfam family "Bacterial small subunit ribosomal RNA", at positions 509 to 807 of the family's 1533-position model. The record is from RNAcentral.
CAGCCGCCGCGGUAAUACGGAGGGUGCAAGCGUUAAUCGGAAUUACUGGGCGUAAAGCGUACGUAGGCGGCUUGGUAAGUUAGAGGUGAAAGCCCGGAGCUCAACUCCGGAACUGCCUUUGAUACUGUCGAUCUGGAGUAUGGAAGAGGUGAGUGGAAUUCCGAGUGUAGAGGUGAAAUUCGUAGAUAUUCGGAGGAACACCAGUGGCGAAGGCGACUGACUGGACAAGUAUUGACGCUGAGGUGCGAAAGCGUGGGGAGCAAACAGGAUUAGAUACCCCCGUAGUCCCUGUCUCUUAUAC